CGAGCCGCCCCGGCCGCUGGUGUGGUAACGUACAGCGGCGCGCACUUCUUGGAGCUUCUAUAUCAGCUCCCCGAGCUCGGGUCACGGGCCCUCCUGAGGUAGAUGAUGGCGCCUGGGCUGCGGUGUCGUCGGCCUGGCACCUCUGCAGAUUUUCUGCAACUGUUUUUCCCCCACCUUUAAACCAACUCUUUCGAAGCUCGGUAUAGAUGUGCACGCGCUCACCUGGCCUUGAGUUUCUCUGCGCUUCUCCACAGCCCAGGGAGGCACAUUAACUUGUUGAAGCUUCCCGACACACGUGUGAGAUAAUGCUGUUAUACCCACUUUACAGAUGAAAAAAUUGAAAUACAGUGGCCAAGUUACUUGACAAUAUUGGAUUAAGACCCAGGCGUCUAAGCCACUGUGCCCUGGCACCGGCAAGCCACAACUACUAAAGCCUGUGUGGCUGGAGCCUGUGCUCUGCUGCAAGAGAAGCCGGCGCUAUGAGAAGCCCUUGUACCACAGCGGGAGGAAAGCUGACAUGCAGCAAUGAAGACCCAAUGCAGUCAGAAAUAAAUAAAGUCUGCGAGGAAAAAAAGUCUCUAAAACAGCUCACAACUAGAGGGAGAAUAUUUGCAAAUCAUCUGUUCCAUAAGGGACUUCUGUCUAAGAUAUAUCUAUCUAAGAUAUCUAUCUAAGAUAAAACUCAAUUUUUUAAAAGGCCCUAUUUGAAAAUAGGCAAAGGUGACACCACCAAAUACUAAUGAGAAUGCGGAGCUGCAGGAACUCGCAUUGUUGGUCUUCACUGUGUGUCGCAGGAUCUUUUUUUGCAACACACAGACUGUCUAGUUGUGGCGUUGCAGCUCAGUAGUGACUUGUGGGCUCCAGAACAAGACAGCUUUAGUAGUUGCUACUCUCAGGCUUAGCUGCCUAAUGGCAUGUGGGAUCUUAGUUCCCCAACCAGGGAUCAAACCUGCAUCCUCUGCAUUGCAAGGCGUAUUCUCAACUACUGGACCACCAGGGAAGUCUGUGACAGUAUUCUAAUCAGAUUGUUUACUUGUUGAGUUUUGAAAGUUCUUUCUAUGUUCUAGGUGCUAGUCCUUUGUCAGAUACAUGGUUUGCAAAUAUUUUCUCCCACUCUGUAGCUUGAUUUUCUAUCUUUUCAGCAGGAUCUUUCACAGAACAGGAGUGUUUAAUUUUGAUGAAAGCCAAUUUUUUUUUCCUUUUAUGGAUUGUGUUUUUUGUGUCAAAUUAAAGAACCCUAGCUGUAGUUUCAGUAGAUUUUCUUUGACUGUUUUCCUAAGAGUUUUAUGUUUUACAUUUAAGUACAUGGUCCACUUUGAGUUAAUUUUCAUAUGGGACAUUAACUUAGAUUGAGGGAUUUUUGUUUUGUUUUUGCUGAUGGAUGUCCGAUUACUCCAGAACCAUUUGGGGAAAACCCAGCUUUCCUCCACUGAAUUGCUUUUGUACCUUUACCAAAAUUCAGUUAAAAGCUACAAUAAUCAGGACUUCCCUGGUGGUCCAGUGGUAAAUAAUCCACUUGCCAAUGCAGGGGACCUGGGUUUGAUCCCUGGUGCAGGAAGAUUCCACAUGCAUGCCAAGGAGCAACUCAGCCCGUGGACCCCAACUACUAGCCUGCACUCUCGGGCCUACCAGCCACAGCUACUGAGUCUAUGUGCUGCAACUACUGAAGCCCGCACACCUAGAGCCUGUGCCCAACAAGAGAAGGCACCACAAUGAAAAGCCCAAGCAGUGCAACUGGAGAGUAGCCCCUGUUCACUGCAGCUAAAGGAAGCCUGCAAGCAGCAAUGAAGACCCGACACAGCCAAAAAUCAUAAUGACUUUUAAAAACUAAAUUCUAAUAGUUCUCAUAACAAGGAGAAUUUUUUAUUUUAUCUAUAUGAGAAGAUGGAUGUUAACUGAACCUAUUGUAAUUAUUUCACAGUAUAUGUAAAUAAAACCAUCAUGCCAUAUAUGUUUAAGUUUUGCAGUGAUGUAUGUCAGUUAUUUCUCAAUACAACUUAAAAAACUAAAUAAAAAUUAUAUAAUCAGGAUUUUGAUUGAGAUUGCAUUGAAUGUGGAUUGAAAUCGAACACGGAAGUGACAUCUUGUGGUCCAGUGGUUAGGAUGCCAUUCUUUCACUGCCGAGGGUAUGGGUUCAGUCCCUGGUGGGUUUAAUCCCCGAGGACCCACCAGCCGUGUGGUGUG
Molecule: non-coding RNA, 2184 nt
Organism: Odocoileus virginianus texanus
Lineage: Eukaryota; Metazoa; Chordata; Mammalia; Artiodactyla; Cervidae
Source: RefSeq, a predicted model, not a curated record